Molecule: ribosomal RNA, 253 nt
Filed under: uncultured bacterium
Lineage: Bacteria
Description: partial 16S ribosomal RNA
Rfam family: Bacterial small subunit ribosomal RNA
Source: RNAcentral
UACGAAGGGGGCUAGCGUUGCUCGGAAUCACUGGGCGUAAAGCGCACGUAGGCGGAUUGCUAAGUCAGGGGUGAAAUCCUGGAGCUCAACUUCAGAACUGCCUUUGAUACUGGCGAUCUCGAGUCCGGGAGAGGUGAGUGGAACUGCGAGUGUAGAGGUGAAAUUCGUAGAUAUUCGCAAGAACACCAGUGGCGAAGGCGGCUCACUGGCCCGGUACUGACGCUGAGGUGCGAAAGCGUGGGGAGCAAACAGG